RNAcentral lists this ribosomal RNA (465 nucleotides) under uncultured bacterium. RNAcentral's name for it is "partial 16S ribosomal RNA". It matches the Rfam family "Bacterial small subunit ribosomal RNA", at positions 28 to 507 of the family's 1533-position model. The record is from RNAcentral.
GACGAACGCUGGCGGCGUGCUUAACACAUGCAAGUCGAACGGAAAGGCCCUGCUUGCAGGGUACUCGAGUGGCGAACGGGUGAGUAACACGUGGGUGAUCUGCCCUGCACUUCGGGAUAAGCCUGGGAAACUGGGUCUAAUACCGGAUAGGAGCCAUUUUUAGUGUGAUGGUUGGAAAGUUUUUUCGGUGUAGGAUGAGCUCGCGGCCUAUCAGCUUGUUGGUGGGGUAAUGGCCUACCAAGGCGGCGACGGGUAGCCGGCCUGUGAGGGUGGACGGCCACAUUGGGACUGAGAUACGGCCCAGACUCCUACGGGAGGCAGCAGUGGGGAAUCUUGCACGAUGGGCGCAAGCCUGAUGCAGCGACGCCGCGUGGGGGAUGACGGCCUUAGGGUUGUAAACUCCUUUCGCUAGGGACGAAGCUUUUUGUGACGGUACCUAGAUAAGAAGCACCGGCUAACUACGUG